This 510-nucleotide ribosomal RNA is filed under the name uncultured bacterium. Its description in RNAcentral is "partial 16S ribosomal RNA". It matches the Rfam family "Bacterial small subunit ribosomal RNA", at positions 28 to 507 of the family's 1533-position model. The record is from RNAcentral.
GACGAACGCUGGCGGCGUGCUUAACACAUGCAAGUCGAACGAAGAGCGAUGGAAGCUUGCUUCUAUCAGUCUUAGUGUCGCACGGGUGAGUAACGCGUAAUCAACCUUCCCUUCAGAGGGGGACAACAGUUGGAAACGACUGCUAAUACCGCAUACGAUCUAAACUCGGCAUCGAGGAUAUCUGCAAGGUUGCCUCUACAUGUAAGCUAUCACUGAAGGAGGGGAUUGCGUCGGAUUAGCUAGUUGGAGGGGUAACGGCCCACCAAGGCGAUGAGCAGUAGCCGGGCUGAGAGGAUGAAAGGACACAUUGGGAAUGAGACACGGCCCAGACUCCUACGGGAGGCAGCAGGGGGGAAACUUCCGCAAUGGACGAAAGUCUGAAGGAGGAACGCCGCGGGAGGGAUGACGGGCCUCGGGUUGGAAAGCUCUGUUAAUCGGGACGAAAGGCCUUCUUGCGAAUAGUGAGAAGGAUUGACGGUACCGGAAUAGAAAGCCACGGCUAACUACGUG